UAUAAUUAACCAGUGAAAUAAAGUGUACUGGUAUCUUGUGUUCUAAUAAGUGUUGUGAUUAAUUGUCACCAAGUGUAAAAGCUUGUGUUUUUCUGGCUCGCCACUGAUGACAGAGUAGUUAUUUACGCCUCCCAAACCUUCGUCGCUGUACAUUGCGGUGUUAAAACCUAUGAAGAACAAGAUUAUCCAGACAGCGAUAAAAAUUUCACAACACUUUUCGUUCAAUUUUGCGAUCCACCAAAAGAAUCCUACGCAAGCGUCCUACUUGAACAUAAUUAUAAUAUUAAAAACAUAAGUGCACUUACAAUGGACCAAAUACCUUACGACUCCGUUCUAAAAGAUUCAAAGGCCCCUGGGAAGGAUGUGAAAAUCUACAGUAUCUAAUAGUUGCGCAAGUUGAAGUUCCGGAUAUAAAGAAUUGGCUGGCAAAAUGUACCAAACUGAAUACUAUUAUACUACAACGCAUGCCGUUGGUGCAUUCUCUGCGAUGGGUUCUUCAAGGAGCGACUGCUUUAAGUGAUCUUGUAAUCAGAGACUGCGAUAUCAAAUGGUUAACAACAGAUCUUUUCAUCUCC
Long non-coding RNA from Hyposmocoma kahamanoa, 575 nucleotides. RefSeq lists it as uncharacterized. Lineage: Eukaryota; Metazoa; Arthropoda; Insecta; Lepidoptera; Cosmopterigidae. The transcript is spliced from 3 exons. The record is from RefSeq and is a predicted model, not a curated record.